Molecule: ribosomal RNA, 450 nt
Filed under: uncultured bacterium
Lineage: Bacteria
Description: bacterial SSU rRNA
Rfam family: Bacterial small subunit ribosomal RNA
Source: RNAcentral
UGCCAGACUCCUACGGGAGGCAGCAGUGGGGAAUAUUGCACAAUGGGGGGAACCCUGAUGCAGCGACGCCGCGUGAGGGAAGACGGUUUUCGGAUUGUAAACCUCUGUCUUUAGGGACGAAACAAAUGACGGUACCUGAAGAAGAAGCCCCGGCUAACUACGUGCCAGCAGCCGCGGUAAUACGUAGGGGGCAAGCGUUAUCCGGAUUUACUGGGUGUAAAGGGGGCGCAGACGGCGAUGCAAGCCAGGAGUGAAAGCCCGGGGCCCAACCCCGGGACUGCUCUUGGAACUGCGUGGCUGGAGUGCAGGAGGGGCAGGCGGAAUUCCUGGUGUAGCGGUGAAAUGCGUAGAUAUCAGGAGGAACACCGGUGGCGAAGGCGGCCUGCUGGACUGCAACUGACGUUGAGGCCCGAAAGCGUGGGGAGCAAACAGGAUUAGAUACCCCAGUAA